AGAGUUUGAUCCUGGCUCAGAUUGAACGCUGGCGGCAUGCCUUACACAUGCAAGUCGAACGGCAGCACGGGUGCUUGCACCUGGUGGCGAGUGGCGAACGGGUGAGUAAUACAUCGGAAUGUACCUUGUAGUGGGGGAUAGCUCGGCGAAAGCCGGAUUAAUACCGCAUACGCUCUGAGGAGGAAAGCGGGGGACCUUCGGGCCUCGUGCUACAAGAGCAGCCGAUGUCAGAUUAGCUAGUUGGUGGGGUAAAAGCUCACCAAGGCGACGAUCUGUAGCUGGUCUGAGAGGACGACCAGCCACACUGGGACUGAGACACGGCCCAGACUCCUACGGGAGGCAGCAGUGGGGAAUUUUGGACAAUGGGCGAAAGCCUGAUCCAGCAAUGCCGCGUGUGUGAAGAAGGCCUUCGGGUUGUAAAGCACUUUUGUCCGGAAAGAAAUCCUCUGGGUUAAUACCUCGGGGGGAUGACGGUACCGGAAGAAUAAGCACCGGCUAACUACGUGCCAGCAGCCGCGGUAAUACGUAGGGUGCAAGCGUUAAUCGGAAUUACUGGGCGUAAAGCGUGCGCAGGCGGUUUUGUAAGACGGAUGUGAAAUCCCCGGGCUUAACCUGGGAACUGCAUUCGUGACUGCAAGGCUAGAGUAUGGCAGAGGGGGGUAGAAUUCCACGUGUAGCAGUGAAAUGCGUAGAGAUGUGGAGGAAUACCGAUGGCGAAGGCAGCCCCCUGGGCCAAUACUGACGCUCAUGCACGAAAGCGUGGGGAGCAAACAGGAUUAGAUACCCUGGUAGUCCACGCCCUAAACGAUGUCAACUAGUUGUUGGGGAUUCAUUUCCUUAGUAACGUAGCUAACGCGUGAAAGUUGACCGCCUGGGGAGUACGGUCGCAAGAUUAAAACUCAAAGGAAUUGACGGGGACCCGCACAAGCGGUGGAUGAUGUGGAUUAAUUCGAUGCAACGCGAAAAACCUUACCUACCCUUUGACAUGUACGGAAUCCUGCUGAAAGGUGGGAGUGCCUCGAAAGAAAAGCCGUUAAACCAGGUGCUGCCAUGGGCCUG
This 1059-nucleotide ribosomal RNA is filed under the name uncultured Pandoraea sp. Its description in RNAcentral is "bacterial SSU rRNA". It matches the Rfam family "Bacterial small subunit ribosomal RNA", at positions 8 to 1053 of the family's 1533-position model. Lineage: Bacteria; Pseudomonadati; Pseudomonadota; Betaproteobacteria; Burkholderiales; Burkholderiaceae. The record is from RNAcentral.